Molecule: long non-coding RNA, 881 nt
Filed under: Lupinus angustifolius (narrow-leaved blue lupine)
Lineage: Eukaryota; Viridiplantae; Streptophyta; Magnoliopsida; Fabales; Fabaceae
Description: long non-coding RNA (LANG_LNC003366)
Source: RNAcentral
UCCUACACAAUGACUCCUUUUACAAAACCUUCUUAAUUCUCUAGUCCCUAACCAAAAAUUAUACUACACGGAACAACAUUCCAAUAAAGUGUAGAAGACAAACACCAAUAACAGAGUACCAGAUGCAGAGGGACCUAAACAAUGCAGAAAAUAAAAGGCAUAACUUAAGAAGUAUAGGAAAGACUACCAACUCACACGAUACCCGAUAAGUAAUUCAUCUCGCGUUACCAAACAUGAUUAACUCGAUAUGCAUAUUUAUUCAUUGUUUACGGGUAUUAUAAUACUACAUACAUAAAACCCUUUCACUUAUAAAUCAAAAAACAUAACCCACUGCCACCGGCGAGAACCAGAGGGAGAAGACGCUGAACCAAGAAAGGACUUGGAUGUGACCAGAAGAGGAGACCCUUCCUCCUUAGCCGCCAGAGUCGCGUCAACGUUCAUCCGCCAUGCCACGUCCAGACGUUGGACACCCUCUCCUUGCAGAUCUGGCUGUCCCGAGCGUGAGCUACCUCUGUGAAUGGCGCAACGCUUUUAGCCAUUCCCACUGAUGAAGUUUCCUUUGUUCCUCGCCGAUUGAUCUCUCCGCCAUGUUAAUCCUCGACUGGAUCGACCUGUCCCUUCUGCUUCUAAGCCCCAUCACGCCGCCUACCGGAGACUACACGUCUCACCGGUAUCUUCUCUGCACCGCUGGACCGAGAGAGAGAAGAAGAAGUUGGCCGUUGGAGGAGGGGUUCCAUCUUUCUCUCCACUGUUGCCUAAUCCUAUCUUAAUACUUAGGUUCUUUUCCAUUUCAUGUUGUCCAGCUUUAUAAAAAGGGUUCUUUUAUUUGCUUUACAUAUUCAAAAUGAUACGUGAAUGGAAUAGAUGGAAUAAUAAAAAUG